GGACUAAUAUAUCGGUCGUGCCUCGGUACGUACUGGUAUUUUUGGUUUCUCCCUUCUGACGAACCUUGACGUCAUUAAUUUGGUGUCUUGGGGAAUCAGGACUGUUACUUUGAAAAAAUUAGAGUGUUUAAAGCAGGCUCACGCUUGAAUACAUUAGCAUGGAAUAAUGAAAUAGGACGUUUGAUUCUAUUUUGUUGGUUUCUAGGAUCGACGUAAUGAU
RNAcentral lists this ribosomal RNA (220 nucleotides) under uncultured fungus. Its description in RNAcentral is "partial 18S ribosomal RNA". The stretch from base 37 to 220 matches the Rfam family "Eukaryotic small subunit ribosomal RNA", at positions 684 to 869 of the family's 1831-position model. Lineage: Eukaryota; Fungi. The record is from RNAcentral.